GACGAACGCUGGCGGCGUGCUUAACACAUGCAAGUCGAACGGAAAGGCCCUGCUUUUGUGGGGUGCUCGAGUGGCGAACGGGUGAGUAACACGUGAGUAACCUGCCCUUGACUUUGGGAUAACUUCAGGAAACUGGGGCUAAUACCGGAUAGGAGCUCCUGCUGCAUGGUGGGGGUUGGAAAGUUUCGGCGGUUGGGGAUGGACUCGCGGCUUAUCAGCUUGUUGGUGGGGUAGUGGCUUUCGAAGGCUUUGACGGGUAGCCGGCCUGAGAGGGUGACCGGCCACAUUGGGACUGAGAUACGGCCCAGACUCCUACGGGAGGCAGCAGUGGGGAAUAUUGCACAAUGGGCGGAAGCCUGAUGCAGCAACGCCGCGUGCGGGAUGACGGCCUUCGGGUUGUAAACCGCUUUCGCCUGUGACGAAGCGUGAGUGACGGUAAUGGGUAAAGAAGCACCGGCUAACUACGUG
Molecule: ribosomal RNA, 468 nt
Filed under: uncultured bacterium
Lineage: Bacteria
Description: partial 16S ribosomal RNA
Rfam family: Bacterial small subunit ribosomal RNA
Source: RNAcentral